CUGUCAGCCUCCAGCAUGCUUGGGUCUGAGGUGACCAUGUCUAUAUCUACUGACAAAAACAUUACAAAACAGUUUGAGGUCUUGCCUUGCUCCAUCCAGAGCAAGAUUAUAGAAAUUUCAGACAAUU
Molecule: small nucleolar RNA, 127 nt
Organism: Suncus etruscus (white-toothed pygmy shrew)
Lineage: Eukaryota; Metazoa; Chordata; Mammalia; Eulipotyphla; Soricidae
Product: small nucleolar RNA SNORA9
Exons: 1
Source: RefSeq, a predicted model, not a curated record